UACGUAGGUGGCAAGCGUUAUCCGGAUUUACUGGGUGUAAAGGGCGUGUAGGCGGGAUGGUAAGUCAGAUGUGAAAACUAUGGGCUCAACCCAUAGCCUGCAUUUGAAACUAUCGUUCUUGAGUGUUGGAGAGGCAGGCGGAAUUCCGUGUGUAGCGGUGAAAUGCGUAGAUAUACGGAGGAACACCAGUGGCGAAGGCGGCCUGCUGGACAAUAACUGACGCUGAGGCGCGAAAGCGUGGGGAGCAAACA
This 251-nucleotide ribosomal RNA is filed under the name uncultured bacterium. RNAcentral's name for it is "partial 16S ribosomal RNA". It matches the Rfam family "Bacterial small subunit ribosomal RNA", at positions 524 to 774 of the family's 1533-position model. The record is from RNAcentral.